RNAcentral lists this ribosomal RNA (414 nucleotides) under uncultured bacterium. Its description in RNAcentral is "bacterial SSU rRNA". It matches the Rfam family "Bacterial small subunit ribosomal RNA", at positions 64 to 507 of the family's 1533-position model. The record is from RNAcentral.
GAACGAGAAAGCGGGGGCAACCUCGUGAGUAAAGUGGCGUACGGGUGAGUAACACGUGGAUCAUCUACCUCUUUGUGGGGGAUAACACUGGGAAACCGGAGCUAAUACCGCAUAAGCUCGAGAGAGGAAAGCAGCAAUGCGCAGAGAGAGGAGUCCGCGGCCGAUUAUGUUAGUUGGCAGGGUGAAAGCCUACCAAGACUACGAUCGGUAGCCGGCCUGAGAGGGCACACGGCCACACUGGCACUGAAACACGGGCCAGACUCCUACGGGAGGCAGCAGUGGGGAAUCUUGCACAAUGGGGGAAACCCUGAUGCAGCGACGCCGCGUGAGCGAUGAAGCCCUUCGGGGUGUAAAGCUCUUUCGGCAGGGAAGAUUAUGACGGUACCUGCAGAAGCAGCUGCGGCUAACUACGUG